GAUGAACGCUAGCUACAGGCUUAACACAUGCAAGUCGAGGGGAAACGGCAUCGAAAGCUUGCUUUUGAUGGGCGUCGACCGGCGCACAGGUGAGUAACGCGUAUCCAACCUGCCCAUCACUUGGGAAUAACCUUGCGAAAGUAAGACUAAUGCCCAAUGACAUCCCACGAAGGCAUCCGAAUGGGAUUAAAGAUUUAUCGGUGAUGGAUGGGGAUGCGUCUGAUUAGCUUGUUGGCGGGGUGACGGCCCACCAAGGCAACGAUCAGUAGGGGUUCUGAGAGGAAGGUCCCCCACAUUGGAACUGAGACACGGUCCAAACUCCUACGGGAGGCAGCAGUGAGGAAUAUUGGUCAAUGGGCGAGAGCCUGAACCAGCCAAGUAGCGUGCAGGAUGACGGCCCUAUGGGUUGUAAACUGCUUUUAUAAGGGAAUAAAGUGGGUCACGUGUGACUUUUUGCAUGUACCUUAUGAAUAAGGACCGGCUAAUUCCGUG
This 492-nucleotide ribosomal RNA is filed under the name uncultured bacterium. Its description in RNAcentral is "partial 16S ribosomal RNA". It matches the Rfam family "Bacterial small subunit ribosomal RNA", at positions 28 to 507 of the family's 1533-position model. The record is from RNAcentral.